RNAcentral lists this ribosomal RNA (446 nucleotides) under uncultured bacterium. RNAcentral describes it as "partial 16S ribosomal RNA". It matches the Rfam family "Bacterial small subunit ribosomal RNA", at positions 331 to 792 of the family's 1533-position model. The record is from RNAcentral.
CCAGACUCCUACGGGAGGCAGCAGUGGGGAAUAUUGGGCAAUGGGCGCAAGUCUGACCCAGCAACGCCGCGUGAAGGAAGAAGGCUUUCGGGUUGUAAACUUCUUUUAAGGGGGAAGAGCAGAAGACGGUACCCCUUGAAUAAGCCACGGCUAACUACGUGCCAGCAGCCGCGGUAAUACGUAGGUGGCAAGCGUUAUCCGGAUUUACUGGGCGUAAAGCGCUCGUAGGCGGUAUGGCAAGUCAAGGGUGAAAUCCCGGCGCUCAACGUGGGAACUGCCUUUGAAACUGGCAAACUGGAGUGUGUGAGAGGAUAGUGGAAUUCCAGGUGUAGGAGUGAAAUCCGUAGAUAUCUGGAGGAACAUCAGUGGCGAAGGCGACUAUCUGGCACAUAACUGACGCUGAGGAGCGAAAGCGUGGGUAGCAAACAGGAUUAGAUACCCCAGUA